This is a long non-coding RNA of Helianthus annuus (common sunflower), 6033 nucleotides long. RefSeq lists it as uncharacterized. NCBI's taxonomy places the organism in Eukaryota, Viridiplantae, Streptophyta, Magnoliopsida, Asterales, Asteraceae. The transcript is spliced from 3 exons. The record is from RefSeq and is a predicted model, not a curated record.
AUGUUUCAUAAGGAGACGUGUGUUUGAGGUUCUUUUUUACACACACAAUCGUUGCAAUUCAAACAGCUUCUUCAGUUUCCACCACCCGUCUAUGGAAGUUGCGGUGGCAGCCACAGGCGGCACAGGUAAGCGAAGCCUCCGUCCCCUCCUCCUCCUCGUUCGACGCCAUGAAUUCCCUGCACCCAUCAACCGCGUACCCACCAACGUUGGCUGCAUGGUUUCUUUGACACUCACCAUAUCUCACAUGAACCCUCAUCGUGUUCGAUGAAUUAGCAGAAUCCGUCGAUGGAGACGGUGGCGGUUCUUCUCUUAUCAACACUACUCGUCUUUUGGUCAUUUGCUUAGAACGAAAGAUGGUUUUAGCAAUUGAAGAACGAUGAUCAGAAUUCCAAUGUCGCACGAUGAAGAAGGUUGGUUUAUCAGGGUUAAUCUUGCCACUGAAAGUGUCGUUGAACUGUAUGGUAAGUUAUAAACUCCGUUCAUAACCCUAGUUUCGAUUUUUGGGAUAAUUAAAUUACGUUGAUCAUGAGUUUAUUAAUAACAUCACCUCCUGGACGCACAUAUGUAGGAGGUAAGAUCAGUUAUGUUGACUUGAUAGAUAUUGAUAAUUUUUCUAUACAUGAAGUCGAUCUUAUGUUGGAUCAGUUAGGGUAUAAUAGCUUGAACCCAAUGUAUUACCAGUUUUUAAAUCCUGAAAAACCCUAGACGAUGGUCUUGAACACCUAAGCAGUGAUCAAGACUGUCUGAACUUGGCUAGGUAUGUUGAAAUGCACAAGAUUAUCAAUGUAUAUACCAACAUGAAGGAACUGUUUAGCUCACCUAGUAAACCUAGCAUCACCAUUGAAGAGAUAGUUGAAAUUGGACCGUAUGCCAUAGUUCCUAUGAAGGAAAAUGCAAAUGUUGGACAUAAUAUUGGCCACGGGGAAUCCAGCAGGGAGGUGCCAGUUAAUGUGGUAGAUGAAAUGGAUGUUAGGCAAUAUGAUUCUGUAAAGAAAGCAUGGGUUGAGACUGAAGUGAAUGUUACUGAGGAUAGGGAUGUUAGUGAGGAUAGGAAUGAUGAUGGUAUUGAACAUAUGCAUGAUAAUGGUAGUGAGGAUAGGAGCGAUAAUGGUAGUGAAGAUAGGAGUGAUAAUGAUAGUGUGGGUGCUUUGGAGACAUGAUGUGGCUGCAAUUUGGUAGAAAGUUGCUAAUGGAGGCAGGGUGGGUGCUUUGGAGAGCUGGGUACAUCCGGUUUAUACGAUGGAAAGGUGGAAACAGGUGUACUCUUUUAGGGUGAACCUUAUCAAUGGUAGGACUUUAUGGACAAAGGUACAUGCUCCUACAACAAUUACACCCCCAAAAUACCACACCCAGGUUGGUAGACCAAAUAAGUUGAGGCAAAGAUCUGUAGUAGAGCUUGAAGAGAUGACCCAAUCAGGAAGGCUGUCCAAAAAACACACUAAAGGGGUAUGUUCAAAGUGUAAGAAGACAGGAUAUAAUUCCAGGACUUGCAAGGGUCAAGGUGAAGCUGUGAAGACUGGCAAAUCAGGGAAGAGUGGGAAGGCAGGGAAGAGUAGGAAGGCAGCAGCAAAGUGAACUUGUGUUUAUGUGCUUUUGAACUUGUUUUAUGGCUUUUGAACUUGUUUUAUGUCUUUUGGAACUUGUGGUUGCUACUUUUUAGAUGUUUGUGAACUUUUGGUAGUUACUUUAGGUGUUUGUGAACUGGUGGUUAUUUUGGGAACAUAAAUCAGGUUUGGUUAUAAUAUGGUAAGAAGUUAUGGUGUUUUGGUCAUUUUCUUUUGGACAUUUUGAUUGUCAUUUGCAUUACUAUAAAGUUUGGUCAUUUUGAAUGUCAAUUGCACUUCGUUUGGUCAUUACAGGUUAUGGUCAUUAUGGCCAUUUACAGUUUGUUUGGGUCAUCUUGUUUUGGUCAGUUUGUUUUGGUAAUUUUGUUUUGGUCAAUUACAAUGAAAACUGCAAACUGAACAUUCCACUUUGCCAUUCAUACACAUCACAAAUACUGCACAUAACAUAUAACUCACUAAAAAGCUAAAAAUACAUCACAAACUUAGAUCUUGUCAGUCAAAAUUAGAUCUUGUCAUUUUACACAUACUGCACAUCACAAAUAACACCCUAAAAUGCCAGAACAUACAUCACAAAACAGAUCCAACUACAAACCAAAUACUUUUUCAAUUUUCUUGACUUUGCUUCAGUAUCUUUCACUUUGGUCAAAAGCAACCAGUUUGAUUGUUCCAGCUUCAUGUUUUCUUAUUGCAGCUUCAUGUUAUCCGAUUCCAAGUUGUUCUUAGCCCUAAGCAGUCCAGGUAUGAUAUCUAUGCACCUUUGGCACCUUUCCUGAUCGAACCAUCCAAGAAGUGGACAAUUUGAACCCUACAUUUUACCAAAUCAAAACAUUAAAGUAAAAAACGACAUUACCUUUCCUGAUCGAACCAUCCAGCCAUGAGUUAAACAUUACAUGGACAGGACAAGAAUAAAAACGACGACCAGGAUUCUUCUUUGUCCAUGAAGUUUGCAUUAUCACUUCCCUUCCACAAUGGCAGUUGACCAUGGCGACGAACCCUAAUUUGAUGGGUGAUGAUGAACCCUGAUUUGCAAAGGUGAAAGGAUUGGGAUGUUAUCAGGUUGUUAAAUAAGGGGGAAAGACAAGUGGGAGAUGAAAUGACAUUUCUACCAUCAUGUGCACUGCACAUGACUUAAUUUUACUAAAAAUUAUAACUGGAUUUGCCAUAAAGGACAUAAUGUGCAACAGUUUCAAACAUUAAGUACAAAAGUCAUCAGUUUUAAAGGUAAAGGACAGCGCCUGAAAUUUGGGACAAACAUAAAGGACAAAACUUGUAAUUUACUCUAUUUAUUAUAAUAGGCCUGUCUUUUGCCUUGGGCCUAAUACUUUGUUUUACCAUAUUGGUAGGACUCGCAUAACGAGUCAACCCGAUCUGUUAAGACACGAACAUGAUAAGACACGAACCCGAAACACGUAAACACGAAUACAACACGAAAUCUUAUCGUGUCAGAUUCUCGAAACACGGACACGAACCUGUUAAUAAACAGGUUACACGAAACGCCAUGUUUAGACACGGAAAAAUUACCAACGCAUCAUACGACCUAUUUAAGACACGAGCACGACCUGUUAAAACACGAACACGACCUGUUUAAGACACGAAAACGACCCAAUUGGGGAAGUUGUGAACCGAAUUGGUAAUGGUGGUAUUUGUGAGAGAGAUUUAAAAAUUAGGGGUUGGAUUGUCGAAAAAGAAUCGCGUGUGUUUGUGUAUAAUUCAUCAAAGUCCCACGACUGAUGAACCCAUGUCCACACCCACAUAUAAUAUUUUUAAAUUUUUAAUUAUUAAUAUGUACUUAACGGAACUGAUGAACCCAUGUCCACACCCACAUAUAAUAGUUUUAAAUUUUUAAUUAUUAAUAUGUACUUAACGGGUCUUAACAGGUUAACGAGUUUUAACUUGUUUAGACACGAAACCUGUUAAGGUCUUAUCGUGUCGACCUGUUUUAGACACGAAACCUGUUAAGCUCAAACACGAAACAUGAUAACUUCGUGUAGGUUCGUGUCGUGUUAGCGUGUUCGUGCCAGAAUUUCCAGCCCUACAUAUUGGGCCUAGUAAAGAUAAGAGGAAAUAAGCCCAGGCGAGAGGCUCGAUGGCUCAACUCUAUUAUCAUUAUUAUUAUUAUUAUUAUUAUUAUUAUUAUUAUUAUUAUUAUUAUUAUUAUUAUUAUUAUUAUUAUUAUUAUUAUUAUGACAUUCAUUCAUCAUCAUCAUCAUUUCAUGACAUUCAUCCACCACCAUCAUCAUCAUCAUUGUUCAAAGCCUCUUUUCAUUUUAUCAUGAGAUCAUCUCAUAAAAAACCCAACAAACCAUACAAACAAACACCUCAAACAAGAUUCACAAACCAUCAUCAUCAUUAUCAAGAUUCACCAACCAUAACACCCACCGCCAUUCUCAUCAUCAUCUUCAAAUCUCCCCCAGUCGAUUAUAAUCAAAUCACAAUUAACCAAAAAACACACAAACAAACAAUCAACACACACUACAUCUCAUCGUUCAACAAAAACCUAAACGAUAAUUAACAUCCGCACGAGUUCAAUCAUAGAACACUAAAACAUUGAAUCAAAUGGAAUCAAAUCAGAUUAUGGGUUUUACAUUAGAUCUGGGUUCUGUUAGAUAUUUUAGUCUAAUCGGGAUUGACUUGGUGAUCAAAGCGAAUAAUAAUACACAUCAAGCAAUUUAGGAGGGGCGGGAGUGCACGCUUGUUUGAGUUAUUAUAAUUCGAAGUGUACGGGCGGAGCCCAAACUCUACGGGGGUUCCAAGGGGGCAAUGCCCCCUUGGCGGGGGUCUGGGGCAGCGCCCCUAGGAGCAGGGUCCAAGGGGCGGCAGCCCCUGGUGGGGUCCAAGGGGCAGAGCCCCUGGCUGGGGUUUAGUUGCAUCAGCAAAUUUUGUUUUCUGGAAAAUGCCAUAAUUUCGAAGCUUCAAAAUAAUGGAAUUUAAGAGGCAGUUUUGUCGUAAAUAUUGAGAUGACUGCCAUUAGGCAGUUAAUCAUCCCUAACCCAAAUUCGUAGACAGUUUGAUCACAAUUUCCUGGUCAGACGAAUUCUCCACACACAUACACUUUUUCAAUUUAUCGAAAAUCAGAGUUGUAUCCGCUUAAAUUAUUCAGGAGAACCACCGAAAUAAUUUGAUCUGAGAGUGAUUACACGCCUCUCUGAUCAUCCGGUUUCUGAAAAUUCACCAACAAAGAUCAAAUUAAUUUCUGUGAUGAUGGCAAGCGGAUCGAUGAAGGACGUGACAAGCAAGUUUGACAAACUGGAGAAGUUCGAUGGGCAGGACUUCCGAAGAUGGCAGCAGAAGAUGUCUCACAACGUUGAAGGUGGUGUACGUGUUGACUACUCCAAUCCCGGAGAUACUGGAGGAGGGCAAUCUGGAGCAGAUCAAAAAGAGGUCGAAGUGGGAGAACGACAAUUACAUAUGCCUUGGCCACAUUCUGAAUGGUAUGUUUGAUCUCUUAUUUGAUGUUUAUCAAAACGUAGAAACCGCAAAGUUACUGUGGGACAUUUUAGAAGCCAAAUACAUGGCAGAAGAUUCUUCUAGUAAGAAGUUUCAUGUUAGUAAUUUUUACAAUUACAAAUGGUUGAUUCAAGGCCCGUCAUGGAACAAUACAAUGAAUUGUUACUAAUCCCGGGGCAAUAUGUCCAAGAUGACAUGAAGAUGGAUGACUCCAUCUCAGUUUCAAGUAUCAUUGAUAAGUUACCUCAUUCCUGGAAAGAUUUUAAACAUAAUCUGAAACAUCAGAAAGGAGAGGUAACUUUGGUUGAACUUGGAAGCCACUUCAGAAUUAAAGAAGGCUUGAGAGCACAAGAAAAAUUGUUGGUCAAUGAUGAAAAGAAACAGGAUGGAACGUCUUCUUUGAACAUGGUUAUGACGGGUGAAUCAUCCAAAGGAAACAGUAAGUUCAAAGGGAAACGAAAGUUUCAAGGGAACAACAAUUCGGGUCAAAACAAAAAGCCGAAUUACCCUUGCUGAAAGUGUGGUAAGGUUGGUCAUGUUAGGAGGGACUAUAAAUUGAUGAUGAAUGGCAACAAGUUUGGUUCAAAGAACAAGAAUGAGGCUGCUUCUAGCGGGUCUAAGGAUCUGGGCAAGCAAGGAUGAUGAUAUUGCUUGGUGGGUUGAUUCGGGUGCAACAAGCCAUGUAUGCAAGGAUCUUUCGUUGGUUCAAAGACUUUCAACUAAUAAAAGACGAUCUAUCAUUAAGAUGGGAAAUGUUGCAACUGAACCAAUCAAAGGAAUAGGAACCGUGAAUCUUGUUUUCACUUCUGGAAAAUCUUUACUUUUGAACAAUGUUUUAUAUGUGCCCGGAAUUCGAAAGAAUAUGUUAACUGGCAUUGUGUUGAAUAAUUGUAGGUACAAACAAGUAUUGGAAAGUGACAAGUAUAUCUUGUCAAGACAUGUUACCUUUGUAGGUUUCGGUUAUAUAUGUAAUGGUAUGUUUAUGGGAAUGUUGAUGUCUCUUUAAUGAAUGAAUCUGUUU